UCAUUUGCUGCAACUGUGAGCAACUUCUCAGUGUGUUGGAGGGACCAGGAGGGAAGUUUGAAAACGGCAAAGUAGGAAUAAAGGGAGCAGAAGAGUGAGGAGGUGCUAUUCAGAAGCUCCUUUUCCUGCAUCUUGCAGCUGCCUCUGAAGCUUCCCCUGGGCACAUCAUGCCACCAUGGGAACCAUGUGGUGGUCUCAUUACUCCAGAAUAGCUUGAAGGCAUCUAACACAGGCAUUGGGCAUGGGGCAACAGUCAUAGGACAGCCCCAGAGCUGUCUGCAUUCUCCAUUGGUUUGUCCCAGGGCAGCCGUGGCACUAGAGCACAAGGAUCCUCUUGCAGCAGUCGGUUCCUUUAAUGUCUUCUGUGCUCUCAGUUUCAGCAAGUUUUCUCCCCUGUUCUGCUUGAGAGCGAGCAAGUGGUUGUGUGGGUGUUUGCUUGUGGAGCCCCGUGACAGCUACACUGGAGAGGUAGUGCUCCUGUAUCCUGAUCCCUGACGGGAAGAAGGCCAGCCGUGUGCUGGCUCUCAUGCUGGUAAGUAUUGGGUUUCCCUGACUGCCAUUCAAAUCAGCAUACGAUGCUAGUUUCCCCCUUAUCGGUGGGCUUGGGUGAAGUCAACUUAAAUGCUUUUGGAAAGCAGUGAGGUCUACUGAUGGCUGCUUCCUUUAAAAUGGUAAUCAAAGGCUAUGUUACAGUUUUCUUUGCUAGGGUGGGUUAAAUUACCAGUCUCCUGGUCUGAGUGCUGCAUGGGGCAUCUGAUCAAAUAUUCCCUAAUUUUCAUCAUUCUUGUCAUCGCCUGUUGCUGGUUAUUUCCUAUGGUACUUUUGAAUUGUUGAGGUCCCUAAUCUCCAGGUGAAUAGUUUACUUCCUCUAAUCAUGCUUAAGGUCCGUCUGUUACCAGAAGCAAAACGUGUAACAGUGUACUACAGAAGCACAGAGACCAUAACUGUGCAAACGUUAAUGAUUUUUCUAAUAGACCAAGCACUAUAAUGUACAACUACAGUACACAAAUUUGCCCAGAUUAAAUAACGUACAGUUUUGGUAAGCUAGUAGAGAACCAUUCUAUUCCUGUUGUUUAUUAUUGAAUCAGUUAUUAACAACAUGUAAUUAACUGGGAAUCCAUUGAUGAUACCUUCAGAAGGAAAAUUAGUAAUGUGACAAAUAAACCUUGAAAUGUUAAGCA
Molecule: long non-coding RNA, 1181 nt
Organism: Anser cygnoides (Swan goose)
Lineage: Eukaryota; Metazoa; Chordata; Aves; Anseriformes; Anatidae
Source: Ensembl